AUGAAGGCAAACAAAUGCUUGACAAGGAGCGGAUGCACGUCUGCUCUUCAGGAAAGGCUCGCCUGGGCGAUUGAGCCGGGAACAGCAGUAAAUCUGUACAAGGUACCGGCCAAAACGGAACGGCAGCGGACCCACAUAAGGAACGCCGAGGAAUCCCCAAGCCCUCUCCGAGUGUUAUCCCGGCAUAAUUAUGAUCUCACUCCGUCCGCUCAACGGACAGCUCCACACGUGGCACCGAUAUCUGCCCUUCAUCUCUCUUUCCCGGCUCACCUCCCGAGAGACCUUCAGUUUCGAAGGGCUCGGGCUCUUCUGCACAAUCCGGCCUUUUCCACCGGCACAGCAGGUAGGGGGUGGAUUUUUCAGCAGGUAUGGUCUCUAAACAAAGCAUCUAACCCUAACCCUACACAUGUCAGCUGUGAGAAUCAGUCACAUUUCUGCAGUUAAAUAGUUUUCCGUCUUUCUUUCAGGUACCAUCGCAAAGGAUAACUGUAAUGUGUCUACUGUGGAAGCUGUGGUUACUUCUGCAACUAAAGCCAUUUUCUAUGUGAGAAGGAAAACUACUGACCACCAUUAUCUUAGGAGAGGUGGUGUCCGGGCCAAGGUCAGCUAAGUAGCUGCUAUAUAUAACGCAGUGUUCCUAUCUGCAUUAAACAAAGAGAAAGGCUGGCUCUUUGACAAGACAAGAUGGGCUGAUGGUUUUCAUUAUAAUACAUCCAUUGCAUCCAGCUGGGACACCGAGAGGAUGUUUUUAAAAGUGGUGUGUGAAGAUUGCGACAGAGGCAGAGAAUCUCUCCUCACCAGAGUGCCCCUCCUCAGUGUUACCCCACUGUUUUCACUGUCCAAAAAACAGGAGCCUUGAGAGGCAUCAAAGAAGGUCCAAUUUGUUUUGCUGAUAGUCGGUCGGCCUGCCAGCCUGGAUUCUACGGUGCGCCUCAUGCAAUUGGCGUUCUCGUAAGGGUGGAGAUAUUGUGACAAGUAGUGUGAGCGCGGCUUCUGCUCAGCAGAUCAAAUGGGCUUUGUGAUUAAAAUAGGAAACAGCAAAACUGGCAGGGUUCUAAUGUGUUUUCUAGGCUUUGGAAUGACUUUUUCAUGUCAACACGUCCGUUGUGGUACCCAGAUAUAUAUCUAUAUGGUUCUACGGUGGUGCUCACACUGUGCGAGAUAUAUGCGACUAGCUUUCAAGUGAGUGUGGUUACUACAACAAAAAAGCUGAUCAGUGGCUUGUAGCCAGCCUUUUUUCCUUAUCUCUUAUUCACUGAGAGGAAAUGGGCAAAUUAUAUGUUUUAUUCCUGUGUUGAAUUCCUCGCUUGUUCAGAAAUGGAUGCCUAAACCUCAUGAGACCUUAAAGUGAGAUAGACAUCAGUUAAUGCCUCUUUAGCAUUUCUAAAAUGGCCUUUCUCCAUGAUUGAUGAUAAACAAAUAGUUUUUUGGAAACAGGAUGUUA
RNAcentral lists this long non-coding RNA (1444 nucleotides) under Scleropages formosus (Asian bonytongue). Its description in RNAcentral is "lncRNA (ENSSFOG00015025532.1)". Lineage: Eukaryota; Metazoa; Chordata; Actinopteri; Osteoglossiformes; Osteoglossidae. The record is from RNAcentral.